This 489-nucleotide ribosomal RNA is filed under the name uncultured bacterium. RNAcentral describes it as "partial 16S ribosomal RNA". It matches the Rfam family "Bacterial small subunit ribosomal RNA", at positions 30 to 507 of the family's 1533-position model. The record is from RNAcentral.
AUUGAACGCUGGCGGCAGGCCUAACACAUGCAAGUCGAACGGUAACAGGAAGCAGCUUGCUGCUUUGCUGACGAGUGGCGGACGGGUGAGUAAUGUCUGGGAAACUGCCUGAUGGAGGGGGAUAACUACUGGAAACGGUAGCUAAUACCGCAUAACGUCGCAAGACCAAAGAGGGGGACCUUCGGGCCUCUUGCCAUCGGAUGUGCCCAGAUGGGAUUAGCUAGUAGGUGGGGUAACGGCUCACCUAGGCGACGAUCCCUAGCUGGUCUGAGAGGAUGACCAGCCACACUGGAACUGAGACACGGUCCAGACUCCUACGGGAGGCAGCAGUGGGGAAUAUUGCACAAUGGGCGCAAGCCUGAUGCAGCCAUGCCGCGUGUAUGAAGAAGGCCUGCGGGUUGUAAAGUACUUUCAGCGGGGAGGAAGGGAGUAAAGUUAAUACCUUUGCUCAUUGACGUACCCGCAGAAGAAGCACCGGCUAACUCCGUG